This 460-nucleotide ribosomal RNA is filed under the name uncultured bacterium. RNAcentral's name for it is "partial 16S ribosomal RNA". It matches the Rfam family "Bacterial small subunit ribosomal RNA", at positions 338 to 795 of the family's 1533-position model. The record is from RNAcentral.
CCUACGGGAGGCAGCAGUGAGGAAUAUUGGUCAAUGGGCGAGAGCCUGAACCAGCCAAGUCGCGUGAAGGAUGAAGGAUCUAUGGUUUGUAAACUUCUUUUAUAAAGGAAUAAAGUGAGGCACGUGUGCCUUUUUGUAUGUACUUUAUGAAUAAGGAUCGGCUAACUCCGUGCCAGCAGCCGCGGUAAUACGGAGGAUCCGAGCGUUAUCCGGAUUUAUUGGGUUUAAAGGGAGCGUAGAUGGGUUGUUAAGUCAGUUGUGAAAGUUUGCGGCUCAACCGUAAAAUUGCAAUUGAUACUGGCAGCCUUGAGUGCAGUAGAGGUAGGCGGAAUUCGUGGUGUAGCGGUGAAAUGCUUAGAUAUCACGAAGAACUCCGAUUGCGAAGGCAGCUUACUAAACUGCCACUGACAUUGAUGCUCGAAAGUGUGGGUAUCAAACAGGAUUAGAUACCCUUGUAGUC